GGGGAAUUUUGGACAAUGGGUGCAAGCCUGAUCCAGCCAUGCCGCGUGUCUGAAGAAGGCCUUCGGGUUGUAAAGGACUUUUGUCAGGGAAGAAAAGGCUGUUGCUAAUAUCAGCGGCUGAUGACGGUACCUGAAGAAUAAGCACUGGCUAACUACGUGCCAGCAGCCGCGGUAAUACGUAGGGUGCGAGCGUUAAUCGGAAUUACUGGGCGUAAAGCGGGCGCAGACGGUUACUUAAGCAGGAUGUGAAAUCCCCGGGCUCAACCCGGGAACUGCGUUCUGAACUGGGUGACUCGAGUGUGUCAGAGGGAGGUAGAAUUCCACGUGUAGCAGUGAAAUGCGUAGAGAUGUGGAGGAAUACCGAUGGCGAAGGCAGCCUCCUGGGACAACACUGACGUUCAUGCCCGAAAGCGUGGGUAGCAAACAGGAUUAGAUACCCUGGUAGUCCACGCCCUAAACGAUGUCAAUUAGCUGUUGGGCAACCUGAUUGCUUGGUAGCGUAGCUAACGCGUGAAAUUGACCGCCUGGGGAGUACGGUCGCAAGAUUA
This 548-nucleotide ribosomal RNA is filed under the name uncultured bacterium. Its description in RNAcentral is "bacterial SSU rRNA". It matches the Rfam family "Bacterial small subunit ribosomal RNA", at positions 356 to 896 of the family's 1533-position model. The record is from RNAcentral.